UUUCUUUUUAUUGGCUGUGGUAAGAAUUUUUCAGGUUUGUGUGACAUCUUCCAUCCCAUUUGACCGAGGAAAACCAUGCAUGAGUCAAAGUUCUCCCAUGGACAAACGGCUCGACUUGAGGACAAGUCGCCUAAAAGAGGGGGGAAUGAUAUGAGCACGCCCCGUGAACUUCAUCGAGCAAGUCUGUCAAGCUGAGCAUUGACAUGUUGGCAAGCUGAUCCCAGCUCGUUUCCAGCUCCACGAGCUCCGUCUAGCUCAAAUCCAGCUUAUUCAAGCUCGAUCCAACUUGCCUGAG
This 295-nucleotide long non-coding RNA is filed under the name Gossypium barbadense (sea-island cotton). Its description in RNAcentral is "long non-coding RNA (GBAR_LNC021595)". Lineage: Eukaryota; Viridiplantae; Streptophyta; Magnoliopsida; Malvales; Malvaceae. The record is from RNAcentral.